RNAcentral lists this unclassified non-coding RNA (274 nucleotides) under Hevea brasiliensis (rubber tree). Lineage: Eukaryota; Viridiplantae; Streptophyta; Magnoliopsida; Malpighiales; Euphorbiaceae. The record is from RNAcentral.
GUUUAUCAAUAGUUGGAAAUUCGGAACUCCCCAAUGUGAUAUUAUUUGAUAGUUCUACGAUAAGGAAGAAAAAAAGCAUCCGUCUACAUAGCAUCCUUGGAUAACAGGUCAUUGGUUUCUACUCUCCGGGCAUUGCAGAGAUCAUCAGCAGCGUCCCCUCUUUCAAAAACAGCCGCUGCUCCCAUUCCCGUGCCUAUGCACAUGGACACCACCCCAAAGCGACAAUCUCUACCCCGACGCUUCAUCUCAUGCAGUAGAGUGGCUAAACAGCGGG